AUCCCAUGAUGAGGACACUUACGCAGUAACUCCUUGAAUUACUCCCAAGCCUCAUACAAUGACUCGUCAUCCAAUUGUUGGAAGGUUGUGAUCUCAUUCCUCAACUU
Molecule: small nucleolar RNA, 107 nt
Filed under: Gossypium hirsutum (cotton)
Lineage: Eukaryota; Viridiplantae; Streptophyta; Magnoliopsida; Malvales; Malvaceae
Description: Plant small nucleolar RNA R71
Rfam family: Plant small nucleolar RNA R71
About the family: R71 is a member of the C/D box family of snoRNAs containing the C (UGAUGA) and D (CUGA) box motifs. Multiple nearly identical copies of this snoRNA have been identified in Arabidopsis, and it is thought to function as a 2'-O-ribose methylation guide for 18S ribosomal RNA.
Source: Rfam by way of RNAcentral